This 1373-nucleotide ribosomal RNA is filed under the name uncultured bacterium. RNAcentral describes it as "bacterial SSU rRNA". It matches the Rfam family "Bacterial small subunit ribosomal RNA", at positions 28 to 1381 of the family's 1533-position model. The record is from RNAcentral.
GAUGAACGCUGGCGGCGUGCCUAAUACAUGCAAGUCGAGCGAACGGACGAGAAGCUUGCUUCUCUGAUGUUAGCGGCGGACGGGUGAGUAACACGUGGAUAACCUACCUAUAAGACUGGGAUAACUUCGGGAAACCGGAGCUAAUACCGGAUAAUAUUUUGAACCGCAUGGUUCAAAAGUGAAAGACGGUCUUGCUGUCACUUAUAGAUGGAUCCGCGCUGCAUUAGCUAGUUGGUAAGGUAACGGCUUACCAAGGCAACGAUGCAUAGCCGACCUGAGAGGGUGAUCGGCCACACUGGAACUGAGACACGGUCCAGACUCCUACGGGAGGCAGCAGUAGGGAAUCUUCCGCAAUGGGCAAAAGCCUGACGGAGCAACGCCGCGUGAGUGAUGAAGGUCUUCGGAUCGUAAAACUCUGUUAUUAGGGAAGAACAUAUGUGUAAGUAACUGUGCACAUCUUGACGGUACCUAAUCAGAAAGCCACGGCUAACUACGUGCCAGCAGCCGCGGUAAUACGUAGGUGGCAAGCGUUAUCCGGAAUUAUUGGGCGUAAAGCGCGCGUAGGCGGUUUUUUUAAGUCUGAUGUGAAAGCCCGCGGCUCAACCGUGGAGGGUCAUUGGAAACUGGAAAACUUGAGUGCAGAAGAGGAAAGUGGAAUUCCAUGUGUAGCGGUGAAAUGCGCAGAGAUAUGGAGGAACACCAGUGGCGAAGGCGACUUUCUGGUCUGUAACUGACGCUGAUGUGCGAAAGCGUGGGGAUCAAACAGGAUUAGAUACCCUGGUAGUCCACGCCGUAAACGAUGAGUGCUAAGUGUUAGGGGGUUUCCGCCCCUUAGUGCUGCAGCUAACGCAUUAAGCACUCCGCCUGGGGAGUACGACCGCAAGGUUGAAACUCAAAGGAAUUGACGGGGACCCGCACAAGCGGUGGAGCAUGUGGUUUAAUUCGAAGCAACGCGAAGAACCUUACCAAAUCUUGACAUCCUUUGACAACUCUAGAGAUAGAGCUUUCCCCUUCGGGGGACAAAGUGACAGGUGGUGCAUGGUUGUCGUCAGCUCGUGUCGUGAGAUGUUGGGUUAAGUCCCGCAACGAGCGCAACCCUUAAGCUUAGUUGCCAUCAUUAAGUUGGGCACUCUAAGUUGACUGCCGGUGACAAACCGGAGGAAGGUGGGGAUGACGUCAAAUCAUCAUGCCCCUUAUGAUUUGGGCUACACACGUGCUACAAUGGACAAUACAAAGGGCAGCGAAACCGUGAGGUCAAGCAAAUCCCAUAAAGUUGUUCUCAGUUCGGAUUGUAGUCUGCAACUCGACUACAUGAAGCUGGAAUCGCUAGUAAUCGUAGAUCAGCAUGCUACGGUGAAUACGUUCCCGGGUCU